GGGGCUUAACACAUGCAAGUCGAGGGGCAGCAUGGUCUUUUCUUGCUAAGGCCGAUGGCGACCGGCGCACGGGUGAGUAACACGUAUCCAACCUGCCGUCUACUCUUGGACAGCCUUCUGAAAGGAAGAUUAAUACAAGAUGGCAUCAUGAGUCCGCAUGUUCACAUGAUUAAAGGUAUUCCGGUAGACGAUGGGGAUGCGUUCCAUUAGAUAGUAGGCGGGGUAACGGCCCACCUAGUCUUCGAUGGAUAGGGGUUCUGAGAGGAAGGUCCCCCACAUUGGAACUGAGACACGGUCCAAACUCCUACGGGAGGCAGCAGUGAGGAAUAUUGGUCAAUGGGCGAGAGCCUGAACCAGCCAAGUAGCGUGAAGGAUGACUGCCCUAUGGGUUGUAAACUUCUUUUAUAAAGGAAUAAAGUCGGGUAUGCAUACCCGUUUGCAUGUACUUUAUGAAUAAGGAUCGGCUAACUCCGUGCCAGCAGCCGCGGUAAUACGGAGGAUCCGAGCGUUAUCCGGAUUUAUUGGGUUUAAAGGGAGCGUAGAUGGAUGUUUAAGUCAGUUGUGAAAGUUUGCGGCUCAACCGUAAAAUUGCAGUUGAUACUGGAUAUCUUGAGUGCAGUUGAGGCAGGCGGAAUUCGUGGUGUAGCGGUGAAAUGCUUAGAUAUCACGAAGAACUCCGAUUGCGAAGGCAGCCUGCUAAGCUGCAACUGACAUUGAGGCUCGAAAGUGUGGGUAUCAAACAGGAUUAGAUACCCUGGUAGUCCACACGGUAAACGAUGAAUACUCGCUGUUUGCGAUAUACAGCAAGCGGCCAAGCGAAAGCGUUAAGUAUUCCACCUGGGGAGUACGCCGGCAACGGUGAAACUCAAAGGAAUUGACGGGGGCCCGCACAAGCGGAGGAACAUGUGGUUUAAUUCGAUGAUACGCGAGGAACCUUACCCGGGCUUAAAUUGCAGAUGAAUUACGGUGAAAGCCGUAAGCCGCAAGGCAUCUGUGAAGGUGCUGCAUGGUUGUCGUCAGCUCGUGCCGUGAGGUGUCGGCUUAAGUGCCAUAACGAGCGCAACCCUUGUUGUCAGUUACUAACAGGUUCCGCUGAGGACUCUGACAAGACUGCCAUCGUAAGAUGUGAGGAAGGUGGGGAUGACGUCAAAUCAGCACGGCCCUUACGUCCGGGGCUACACACGUGUUACAAUGGGGGGUACAGAGGGCCGCUACCACGCGAGUGGAUGCCAAUCCCCAAAACCUCUCUCAGUUCGGACUGGAGUCUGCAACCCGACUCCACGAAGCUGGAUUCGCUAGUAAUCGCGCAUCAGCCACGGCGCGGUGAAUACGUUCCCGGGCCUUGUACACACCGCCCGUCAAGCCAUGGGAGCCGGGGGUACCUGAAGUGCGUAACCGCGAGGAGCGCCCUAGGGUAAAACUGGUGACUGGGGCU
Molecule: ribosomal RNA, 1435 nt
Filed under: uncultured organism
Description: SSU rRNA
Rfam family: Bacterial small subunit ribosomal RNA
Source: RNAcentral